RNAcentral lists this transfer RNA (73 nucleotides) under Bos taurus (domestic cattle). It matches the Rfam family "tRNA". From Rfam's summary of the family: Transfer RNA (tRNA) molecules are approximately 80 nucleotides in length. Their secondary structure includes four short double-helical elements and three loops (D, anti-codon, and T loops). Further hydrogen bonds mediate the characteristic L-shaped molecular structure. tRNAs have two regions of fundamental functional importance: the anti-codon, which is responsible for specific mRNA codon recognition, and the 3' end, to which the tRNAs corresponding amino acid is attached (by aminoacyl-tRNA synthetases). tRNAs cope with the degeneracy of the genetic code in two manners: having more than one tRNA (with a specific anti-codon) for a particular amino acid; and 'wobble' base-pairing, i.e. permitting non-standard base-pairing at the 3rd anti-codon position. Lineage: Eukaryota; Metazoa; Chordata; Mammalia; Artiodactyla; Bovidae. RNAcentral also lists the same sequence under 2 other names. The record is from Rfam by way of RNAcentral.
UCCCUGAUGGUCCAGUGGUUAAGGCUCUGUGUUUUCACUGCAGGGGGUGCAGGUUCAGUUCCUGGUCUGGGAA